RNAcentral lists this ribosomal RNA (496 nucleotides) under uncultured bacterium. Its description in RNAcentral is "bacterial SSU rRNA". It matches the Rfam family "Bacterial small subunit ribosomal RNA", at positions 29 to 519 of the family's 1533-position model. The record is from RNAcentral.
AUUGAACGCUGGCGGCAUGCCUUACACAUGCAAGUCGAACGGUAACGCGGGCUUCGGCCUGGCGACGAGUGGCGAACGGGUGAGUAAAGUAUCGGAACGUGCCCUGGAGUGGGGGAUAGCUCGGCGAAAGCCGGAUUAAUACCGCAUACAAUCCACGGAUGAAAGUGGGGGACCGCAAGGCCUCACGCUCCUGGAGCGGCCGAUAUCUGAUUAGCUAGUUGGUGGGGUAAAGGCCUACCAAGGCGACGAUCAGUAGCUGGUCUGAGAGGACGACCAGCCACACUGGGACUGAGACACGGCCCAGACUCCUACGGGAGGCAGCAGUGGGGAAUUUUGGACAAUGGGGGCAACCCUGAUCCAGCAAUGCCGCGUGAGUGAAGAAGGCCUUCGGGUUGUAAAGCUCUUUUGUCAGGAAAGAAAUCCCCUGGGUGAAUACCCCGGGGGGAUGACGGUACCUGAAGAAUAAGCACCGGCUAACUACGUGCCAGCAGCCGCG